Molecule: ribosomal RNA, 253 nt
Filed under: uncultured bacterium
Lineage: Bacteria
Description: partial 16S ribosomal RNA
Rfam family: Bacterial small subunit ribosomal RNA
Source: RNAcentral
UACGUAGGGUGCAAGCGUUAAUCGGAAUUACUGGGCGUAAAGCGUGCGCAGGCGGUGAUGUAAGACAGAUGUGAAAUCCCCGGGCUUAACCUGGGAACUGCAUUUGUGACUGCAUUGCUGGAGUGCGGCAGAGGGGGAUGGAAUUCCGCGUGUAGCAGUGAAAUGCGUAGAUACGCGGAGGAACACCGAUGGCGAAGGCAAUCCCCUGGGCCUGCACUGACGCUCAUGCACGAAAGCGUGGGGAGCAAACAGG